Molecule: ribosomal RNA, 493 nt
Filed under: uncultured bacterium
Lineage: Bacteria
Description: partial 16S ribosomal RNA
Rfam family: Bacterial small subunit ribosomal RNA
Source: RNAcentral
GACGAACGCUGGCGGCGUGCUUAACACAUGCAAGUCGAACGGAGAAGCGCCUUCCUUGUUGGUGGGUGUGGAUGAGUGGCGAACGGGUGAGUAACACGUGAGUAACCUGCCCCCUCCUUCUGGAUAACCGCAUGAAAGUGUUGCUAAUACGGAAUAUUCUGGGUCUGUCGCAUGAUGGGUCUGGGAAAGUUAUUGUUUCGGUGGGAGAUGGGCGCGCGGCCCAUCAGCUAGUUGGUGGGGUGAUGGCCUACCAAGGCGGCGACGGGUAGCCGGCCUGAGAGGGUGGACGCACUCGCAGGGAGUGAGACUCCGGCCACCCUCGGGCGGGAGGCGGAGGUGGGGAAUCUUGCUGGAUGGACGCCUGCCUGAUGCAGCGCCGCCGAGUGAGGGAUGUCGGCCUUCGGGAUGUCAACCUCUUUCGCGAGUGAAGCAGGCCUGCCUAGUUUGUGGGUGGGUUGACGGUAGCUGGAUAAGAAGCGCCGGCUACCUACGU